GACGAACGCUGGCGGCGCGCCUAACACAUGCAAGUCGAGCGAUGAAAUUUUAACCGAUCUCUUCGGAGAGAAGAUAAAAUGGAUUAGCGGCGGACGGGUGAGUAACACGUGAGAAACCUGCCUUUCACAAGGGGAUAGCCUCGGGAAACCGGGAUUAAUACCCUAUGACACAUUUCCUUCGCAUGGAAGAAAUGUUAAAACUCCGGUGGUGAAAGAUGGUCUCGCGCCUGAUUAGCUAGUUGGUGGGGUAACGGCCCACCAAGGCCAUGAUCAGUAACCGGCCUGAGAGGGUGAACGGUCACAUUGGAACUGAGACACGGUCCAAACUCCUACGGGAGGCAGCAGUGGGGAAUAUUGCACAAUGGAGGAAACUCUGAUGCAGCGACGCCGCGUGAGCGAUGAAGGCUUUCGAGUCGUAAAGCUCUGUCCUAUGGGAAGAUAAUGACGGUACCAUAGGAGGAAGCCCCGGCUAACUACGUG
RNAcentral lists this ribosomal RNA (480 nucleotides) under uncultured bacterium. RNAcentral's name for it is "partial 16S ribosomal RNA". It matches the Rfam family "Bacterial small subunit ribosomal RNA", at positions 28 to 507 of the family's 1533-position model. The record is from RNAcentral.